CUGGAGAAGGUAUAUUCAUUCUGUGAGGAACAUGACAUUCCUAAGGUAAACAUGCAUGAUGAAUAUGUCGAUCGGCGUAAGCCAAGAAAAAGAACCAAUAUUACAAAUCUUCAUCAUUACCAAAUAGAGUGCCUUAAUACUGUUAUUGAUUGGCAAUUUCGAGAGUUUGAUGAUAGAUUCAAUGAAGUGAAUUCUGCACUGCUUAUCCACAUGGCUUCUUUCAACCCAAAAAACUCCUUCGCAGCUUUUAACUUGGAUAGUUUAUAUAAGCUAGCUGAGUUUUAUCCUGAUGAUUUCAAUUCAACACAAUUGAUGAAUCUUGGUCAUGAACUUCGGAUUUUCAUAGACAAUGUCCGGGCGGACCAAAGAUUUGCAAAUUAG
RNAcentral lists this ribosomal RNA (381 nucleotides) under Triticum aestivum (bread wheat). Its description in RNAcentral is "partial small subunit ribosomal RNA". Lineage: Eukaryota; Viridiplantae; Streptophyta; Magnoliopsida; Poales; Poaceae. The record is from RNAcentral.